RNAcentral lists this ribosomal RNA (1496 nucleotides) under Plasmodium sp. Its description in RNAcentral is "SSU rRNA". It matches the Rfam family "Eukaryotic small subunit ribosomal RNA", at positions 162 to 1439 of the family's 1831-position model. Lineage: Eukaryota; Apicomplexa; Aconoidasida; Haemosporida; Plasmodiidae. The record is from RNAcentral.
AGCUAAUACUUGCUUUAAUGCUCCCGACGUGUUACGUCUUGUGAGCAUGUACUUGUUAAGCCUUUAUAAGAAAAAAGUUAAUAACUUAAGGAAUGAUAACAAAGAAGUGACACAUAAAAAGGACUCGUCCCAUUUUCUAGUGCGUAUCAAUCGAGUUUCUGACCUAUCAGCUUUUGAUGUUAGGGUAUUGGCCUAACAUGGCUAUGACGGGUAACGGGGAAUUAGAGUUCGAUUCCGGAGAGGGAGCCUGAGAAAUAGCUACCACAUCUAAGGAAGGCAGCAGGCGCGUAAAUUACCCAAUUCUAAAGAAGAGAGGUAGUGACAAGAAAUAACAAUACAAGACCAAAACUGGUUUUGUAAUUGGAAUGAUUGGAAUUUAAAUCCUUCCCAUAAUACAAUUGGAGGGCAAGUCUGGUGCCAGCAGCCGCGGUAAUUCCAGCUCCAAUAGCGUAUAUUAAAAUUGUUGCAGUUAAAACGCUCGUAGUUGAAUUUCAAAGAAUCGAUAUUUUAAGUAACGCUUUUAGCUUAAUCCACAUAACUGAUACUACGUAUCGACUUUGUGCGCAUUUUGCUAUUAUGUGUUCUUUUAAUUAAAAUGAUUCUUUUUAAGGUCUUUCUUUUGCUCCGGCAUUUGAAGAUCUUGUUACUUUGAGUAAAUUAGAGUGUUCAAAGCAAACAGAUAUAGCAUUGCGCGUUUGAAUACUACAGCAUGGAAUAACAAAAUUGAACAAGUCAGAAUUUUGUUCUUUUUUCUUAUUUUGGCUUAGUUACGAUUAAUAGGAGUAGCUUGGGGGCAUUUGUAUUCAGAUGUCAGAGGUGAAAUUCUUAGAUUUUCUGGAGACAAACAACUGCGAAAGCAUUUGCCUAAAAUACUUCCAUUAAUCAAGAACGAAAGUUAAGGGAGUGAAGACGAUCAGAUACCGUCGUAAUCUUAACCAUAAACUAUGCCGACUAGGCUUUGGAUGAAAGAUUUUAAAAUAAGAGUUUUUUCUCUGAGGAGUUAAAACUCUUAGAUUGCUUCCUUCAGUGCCUUAUGAGAAAUCAAAGUCUUUGGGUUCUGGGGCGAGUAUUCGCGCAAGCGAGAAAGUUAAAAGAAUUGACGGAAGGGCACCACCAGGCGUGGAGCUUGCGGCUUAAUUUGACUCAACACGGGAAAACUCACUAGUUUAAGACAAGAGUAGGAUUGACAGAUUAAUAGCUCUUUCUUGAUUUCUUGGAUGGUGAUGCAUGGCCGUUUUUAGUUCGUGAAUAUGAUUUGUCUGGUUAAUUCCGAUAACGAACGAGAUCUUAACCUGCUAAUUAGCGGCAAAUACGAUAUAUUCUUAUGUGGGAUUGAAUACGGUUGAUUUGCUUAUUUUGAAGAAAAUAUUGGGAUGCGUAAAGUGUCCCUUUCCCUUUUCUACUUAAUUCGCUUAUCAUACUGUUUCUCUUUCGCGUAAGAAUGUAUUUGCUUGAUUGUAAAGCUUCUUAGAGGAACGAUGUGUGUCUAACACAAG